Unclassified non-coding RNA from Callithrix jacchus (white-tufted-ear marmoset), 300 nucleotides. It matches the Rfam family "Metazoan signal recognition particle RNA". Rfam says of the family: The signal recognition particle (SRP) is a universally conserved ribonucleoprotein. Lineage: Eukaryota; Metazoa; Chordata; Mammalia; Primates; Cebidae. The record is from Ensembl.
GCCGGGCGCAGUAGCACGUGUCUGUAGUCCCAGCUACUCAGGAGGCUGAGGUGGGAGGAUCGCUUUAGCCCAGGAGUUCUGGACUGCAGUGAGCUAUGCUAAUAGGGUGUCCGAACUAAGUUUGGCAUCAAUAUGGUGACCUCCUGGGAGUGGGGGACCACUAGGUUGCCUAAGGAAGGGUGAACCGGCCCAGGUCAGAAAUGGAGCAGGUCAAAACUCCUGUGCUGAUCAGUAGUGGGAUUGCGCUUAUGAAUAGCCACUGCACUCCAGCCUGGGCAACAUAGUGAGACCCUGUCUCUU